GUGGGGAAUUUUGGACAAUGGGGGCAACCCUGAUCCAGCCAUGCCGCGUGUCUGAAGAAGGCCUUCGGGUUGUAAAGGACUUUUGUCCGGGAAGAAAAGCGCGAUGUUAAUACCAUUGCGUGCUGACGGUACCGGAAGAAUAAGCACCGGCUAACUACGUGCCAGCAGCCGCGGUAAUACGUAGGGUGCGAGCGUUAAUCGGAAUUACUGGGCGUAAAGCGGGCGCAGACGGUUACUUAAGCAGGAUGUGAAAUCCCCGGGCUCAACCUGGGAAUUGCGUUUUGAACUGGGUAGCUAGAGUGUGUCAGAGGGGGGUAGAAUUCCACGUGUAGCAGUGAAAUGCGUAGAGAUGUGGAGGAAUACCGAUGGCGAAGGCAGCCCCCUGGGAUAGCACUGACGUUCAUGCCCGAAAGCGUGGGUAGCAAACAGGAUUAGAUACCCUAGUAGUCC
RNAcentral lists this ribosomal RNA (450 nucleotides) under uncultured bacterium. RNAcentral's name for it is "bacterial SSU rRNA". It matches the Rfam family "Bacterial small subunit ribosomal RNA", at positions 354 to 796 of the family's 1533-position model. The record is from RNAcentral.